CACAUGUUCUGGUUUAAUUGGGAAAUCUCUCCUUUGACUUUCAGAAUAGCACAGAAGCAGAGACUUUAAGCCUAAACAGACCCAGAUUCAGAGCAGACCCGAUGCUGCUUGAAGAAGGCUGGAGGUAUGUUAAGGAGACAAGGGCUGUCAAGAAGCAGGGAUGUCUCUGGAAAGGGUGAGCAGCUGACGGCCUUUAUGGUUUAGUAGACACCUGUUAAUUUGUCUGCCUCGCAUUCAUUCAUCUUCCUCAUGAACCUGUAAUAUUUUUGUGCUAUGCCAGAAAUUGACUGAAACAGCUAUAGAAUCUGAUAGCUUCUUUAGGACCAAGGAGCAAGAUGGUGACAUAUGAACGCUAUCAAUCUGCUCCCCCUUCUCUACCUCCCUCCAACAAUUAGGCUCUUGGAACCCAGUCAUCAUUAUGAAAGAAGUCACAGGAUCUCUAUGAAGUUGCCUACAUGAAUAUAAACUAAGGCCCCUGGCUGACAGCACCUGGAUGAGCUUCCAGCCAGCAUCCAGCAUCAAGAUGUCAGCAUAUAAAUGGUCUUUCUUGAAAAUGGAUCCUUUAGUUGCACUCAGGCUAUUGAAACUGAUACCACUGGGGUGGGGGUGGGGGGAAAUAAGCCAUUCUUGCUGAACCCUAACGAAAUUGCAAGUUUGUGAGAAAACUAAAUUAAUAUUAUUGUUUUAAGUUGCAAGAUUAAGGGUGGUUUGUUAUGUAGCAAUAGAUAACUGGAACUAAUAGUGCUGUUUAAACUCACUCCAUAGUUAAUUGCUCAGAAAGUAUACAAAACUUUGCAAAUAAAGGCUUCAUCUUACUGUAAAAUCAUUUAUAUAAAAAAUUCAGUUAUAUUUAAAAUACAUUCACA
Molecule: long non-coding RNA, 866 nt
Organism: Cebus imitator (Panamanian white-faced capuchin)
Lineage: Eukaryota; Metazoa; Chordata; Mammalia; Primates; Cebidae
Exons: 4
Source: RefSeq, a predicted model, not a curated record